GUAGUACUCCUUCCGUCCGGAAAUACUUGUCAUCAAAAUGGAUAAAAGGGGAUGUAUCUAGAUGUAUUUUAGUUCUAGAUACAUCUCCAUUUAUCCAUUUUGAUGACAAGUAUUUUCGGACGGAGGGAGUAUUUC
Molecule: non-coding RNA, 135 nt
Organism: Triticum aestivum (bread wheat)
Lineage: Eukaryota; Viridiplantae; Streptophyta; Magnoliopsida; Poales; Poaceae
Source: Rfam